AUUCAGAUACGAUACCAUUAGAGAAGAUGAUAGAGGAGUUGAGAGAGAAAAGAAAGAUACCGAUUGGUGCAUCAAACGAUGGAAGUAGCGAUUGAUGAUGGAAGUAGCGAUUGGUGAUGGAAGCAGCGAUGGAAGUUUUUUUCACAAAGUCUUCUUUAUGUGAGUUUUUUUUUUCUUUUCGCUCUUAAGUUUGAUUGCAUUGGCUGCUCCCUGGAAUUGGGUCUGGCAGGUUUGUUGGACUAAUUCUGCCACAAUAUCUAUUUAGCUAAUAUUUUAUACUAUUGGUAAUUAGUAAUUUGGAAGGAAAAUUUGGUGCUUGUAACUAGUUUUGAUAUCUAAUAGAGCCAACAACAGGAAAACAUAACAUAGUAAUUAAAUUCAAAUACCAAACAGAGACAAUGAAUUCCACAGAGAACCACAACUAACACUGUCAAAAUACUGACCAUGUAUCCGAGAGAGAGACGUAUAAAAUGAUAUUCAAUUCAAUCAAUGGCACAUUAUCAAGUAAAACAAAAUAAGAACAAAACCUGGACUCACAAUCAUUACUAGCAGCAAACUAAUCUUGUAUAUGAUCAUGUUUUUAUUAGGAUUGAUGUAGGAUUUUUUUAUUCUAGAUUUAUUUCCUCAAUUAAGGGAUUCUUAGUGUACAGUUUUCAUUAUAAAUAGGGAAAAAUAUAACAACCUCCCUUGAGUUCUAUCUAAAUGCACCUAACAUCCCCUCCAUUUUCCCAAACAUCAAAACGAGGGAAACAGAGAGUGAAUACUUGAAGGUUGUGUUGAGCAAGGAAACCUACUUGAAGGUUGUGUUGAGCAAGGGAACCUAAUCAGCAACUCUAAAACACCCGCGUGAUAGCGAACAGAGUUAGCAAACAGAAAUGUGUAAAACCCCACUACAACUAAAAGAGUAAAACCCCACUACAGGGAUUGCAGAUUUCCCCAUUUCAAAAGCUCAAUAACCCACAACUAUUGAAAUGUCGCAUAAACACACAAAGUUGGGGUUUUUUUAUUUUAAAAAAAUGUAUAUGUAAUGUCGCAUAAACACACAAAAAAAUUGGGGUUUUUUUUUUCCUUUUGUCAAGCAAGAUGCUAUGAAUAAUCACAAACCCUAAAAAUUAAGAAAAGAAACAGAAAAACCCAACAAAGAGAGAAAAAUAAGGAUUCAGAUACGAUACCAUUAGAUAAGAUGAUAGAGGAGUUGAGAGAGAAAAGAAAGAUAUCGAUUGGUGCAUCAAACGAUGGAAGUAGCGAUUAAUGAUGGAAGUAGCGAUUGGUGAUGGAAGCAGCGAUGGAAAGAAGAUGAUGAACAGUGAAGGUGCUUCGAUUUAUGCCAUGAGUGAGGAACCGAUUGAGUGAAGAUUUCGUUAGUGAGAUUGAGCCAUUAGGGUUAGUGAGAUUGAAAUUUAGGUUUCAGAUUUGGGGGGGAAACUGAGAUUGAGGAAGUAUUUUCGUUUUAGGGUUUUGGAGAUGAUGGAGGGAGAUUGAAAUUAGGGAAAAGAGGUGUGGGAGGGAGAAGAAUGAAAUUGGUAAAGAGGGAGUGUGAAAACCGAUCCUUUCCUCUUCUUUUGACAGUAUUUAAUUUUCUUUUAAUUUACAAUAUUUUAUACAUAAUUUUUUAAUAUAUUAGUUAUAUAAUAAAUGAUAUAAAAAAUACAUUAGAUAGAUAACUAAUAUGAUAAAAUCAUUAUAUUAAACAUAAAUAUUUUAUUAUUAUGAUAAAAUAAUUAGGGUUGAAUAUGUUUUUGGUCCUAUUUUUAAUUUAAUUUUUGUAUUUUUUAAUGAAAUUGUGCAUAAAUGUGUAAAAUAUUCUAAAAAAAAUUAUAAAAAAAAUUAGAUUUUUUUAACAAAACAUAAAUUAAAUAUGAAUUUUUAACCGUAAAAAAUAUAAAAACUCAUAUUAAAUUCAUGUAUCGUUAAAAAAUUCUAAUUUUUUUUGGGAGUGAUUAUUAUAAUAUUUUGAAUUUUUUUGAAAAAUAUUAUUAAAAAAUAUGAAUUCUAAAUAUGUGUGAGGGACAAAAAAUGAAGAUUGAAAACUUUAUAGGGACUAAAAUUUGAAGGAAAAUUUUAGAGGGACUAAAACGAAAAUUUGACAUAUUUAUAGGGACCAAAAACAUAUUUAACCCUAAUAAUUACAUUAAAGACAUCAUGUGUUUUAUGAAGGGUUAUUCAUCAUCGUCAUAAUAAAAAUCAUCCACAUUGUUGUCAGGGUUAUUUGCAUCUUCCCCAUUUUCUCUAGAGUUACUUGACUCCUCCCCACUAUCAGUGUCAAUAAGUAACAUUUGAGCUAACGUUUCAGCAUCAAGUUGUUGACCGUCAACAUCUCUGUCAACCAAAUUUGUAACAGGAUCNUAUAUAUAUAUAUAUAUAUAUAUAUAUAUAUAUAUAUAUAUAUAUAUAUAUAUAUAUACGCACACACGGGGGAGUACAUAUAAGAAGAUGUUGGAUAGUCUGAGGUUGAUGCUCGAUGAUUUUAGUGUCUAUACGACGCGGAUUUUUCAGAGAGCUUGGCAUGAGCAGGAGGUCUAACUUCUUGCAAUAUUUUGGAAAAGUUGCGCCCCCUUCCAAAUUAAUUAUCUUCUCUUGACAAAUGCUGCAGGAUAGUGUUUCAGCCUACCAGAAUCUGUUAUGUAGUAGAGUUAUCAUUGAUCUUAAUGGUAUCCCUCAAAUUAAAAGAAAUGGUAUUCUUAAUAUAAAAAUAAAUGGUAUCCCUCAUAUUAAAAGAAAUGGUUGAGAUUAAAACAUGACUUAAGGGAGUAAAGGAGUAAAUGGUAUCCCCAAUUUGAUAUACAUAAAAAUCACCCCAGUUUGAUAUGAUUAUAAUUUAUAUUAGAGAAUUGCGCCAAAAGCUAUUACGUCCAAUUUCUAUACAUUUCUAUAGGUUAAAGAGAUUGACUACACCAAACAAAGUAAAGGAAGGAAACACUACAAGAAAUAUUGGAUUUUCCUAGGGAAAUAUUCCUUGGAAAACACACCUUUUUUGUAGGAAAACACGGAUUUCCUAGAAAUUACCGAGGAAACAAGUUGUAGGAAAUUUUAGACUUAUUCCUACGAGAUUUCCGAGGAACUUCCGAGGAAAUACUUUUUCCGACAAAAUUACCAAGGAAAGUUUCGUAGGAAAGCAUUUUGCAGGCUGCCACAUCUGACACACGCUUUCCGACGAAAAUUUCGUAGGAAACAAUAAUAAUUAAAUAUUACACACAUUUUCCUACAAAACUUUCCUAGGAAACAAUAAUAAUUAAAUAUUACACGUUUUCCUAUGAAACUUUUCUAGGAAACAAUAAUAAUUAAAUAUUACACACGUUUUCCUACGAAACUUUCCUAGGAAACAAUUAUAUUUAAAAAAAAAUAAUUAGAUACAAAUUUUGAUUUCGAAAAAAGGCGCCAAAUAAUUUAAAUGAGGUGCCAAAAUUUCAUAAAAAAUCAAAUUUAAAAAAAAACGAAAAAUAAAAAAAGUGCGCCAAAAUUUGAAAAUAACCCAAAUUUUUUGAUAAUUUGUUUCCUACAAAACAUGUCAUGUUGAUAAAUAAUUACAUAAAACAAAAUUCAUAUAUGCAAGUUCAAUAUUUUCUUUGACAGUAACCACCUAAAACACCCAAAAAUCCCUAACCAAAAAACAGCAAUUGAAAAGAAUAUAAAUUACUCGUUAUGAUCAUCAUCCGUCUCCUCGUCCUCGUCCUCAUCAUCAUCAUUGUCGUCGUCAUAUGUUCGGUCUUCUUGAACCGUCGCUAUCAGUUAAACUGAUUCCAUCCUGAACAGUAAAAACAAACAUGUAACUAAUUAGUAAAAUAAAUCAUUUAUGGAUCGAACAAUGAGCAAAGCAAGUUGUGAAAAAUGCUAGGAAAGAACCAUAAAUAUAUGCGGAGCUAGCUGGAUCGAGUAACAGAAGGAUGAGGUACAAAGAGAGGAAGUAAAGAAGCUAUGUCCUAUACUGAUGUCGUAACUAGAAAUGCCAGUUCUAAUAACAAACUUAACUACUGGAUAGUAGCUAUAGCCUAUAGCCAAAUUUAAAAAUCAACUUAUUUCAAUUUCAAGAUCAUCACUGAUAUCAUAGCAAAGGACUAUUUCCAGCUUGACACUAUAAAAUGAAGCAGAGUUAGAACAAUUUUUUAAUUUCUUCCAACAUGAAAUAAAAUAAUCUCCUUAAGAAUCCCAAAAUGCAAACCAAUCAAAUAAUAGUUCAAAAGUGAACUGACACGACAUUCAAUCUUGGCUCCUUGGAUAUCAUCAUACACAUGCAAAAAUUAGUAUACUAGAAUUACAAGAGGUCAAUUACUACUAGAAUAUUUAGACCUCAUUUUGAUCCAUUGGCCAAUUACUACUAAACCAGAUGAAGUUAAAUAACCUACAGGAAGCAUAGCAACAUUAGUGAACUGGUUUGGUGCAUGAUAAUGCUCCUACACUUUCAACUUUCUCAUGAGUUGGAGCUAGAAAAAAUCUUUUAAUGAUCCUAGUUCUUAACAGAACUUGCAAAAGCUAAAAAAUCAUAAGCAAAUUACAGAGCUAUGCGGACAUAAUUACACAAUUUAUAUUCACAUAGCUAUAUAAUCUAUGCAACUUUUACCUGUAGAAUUACAACCAGAGUCUAUAGCUUAAUAAAAAAAAUUGUUUUUGAAAGAACAGCAUUUAAAAAGUUAACAUCUGAUAUUCCUAUAGCAUAUUCACAUAGCUAUAUAGUUUAUAAUCACACAGUUUAUAGCAUGUCCAUAACAACAAAUACAAUACAACUAAAAGAGUAAAACCCCACUACAGGGAUUGCAGAUUUCCCCAUUUCAAAAGCUCAAUAAUCCACAACUAUUGAAAUGUCGCAUAAACACACAAAGUUGGGGUUUUUUUUUUAUUUUAAAAAAAAAUGUAUAUGUCGCAUAAACACACAAAAAAAUUGGGUUUUUUUUUUCUUUUGUCAAGCAAGAUGCUAUGAAUAAUCACAAACCCUAAAAAUUAAGAAAAGAAACAGAAAAACCCAACAAAGAGAGAAAAAUAAGGAUUCAGAUACGAUACCAUUAGAGAAGAUGAUAGAGGAGUUGAGAGAGAAAAGAAAGAUACCGAUUGGUGCAUCAAACGAUGGAAGUAGCGAUUGAUGAUGGAAGCAGCGAUUGGUGAUGGAAGCAGCGAUGGAAAGAAGAUGAUGAACAGUGAAGGGAAAUCGAUUUAUGCCAUGAGUGAGGAACCGAUUGAGUGAAGAUUUGGUUAGUGAGAUUGAGCCAUUAGGGUUAGUGAGAUUGAAAUUUAGGUUUCAGAUUUGGGGGGGGGAAAGUGAGAUUGAGGAAGUAUUUUCAUUUUAGGGUUUUGGAGAUGAUGGAGGGAGAUUGAAAUUGGGGAAAAGAGGUGGGAGGGAGAAGAAUGAAAUUG
Molecule: long non-coding RNA, 5346 nt
Filed under: Medicago truncatula (barrel medic)
Lineage: Eukaryota; Viridiplantae; Streptophyta; Magnoliopsida; Fabales; Fabaceae
Description: long non-coding RNA (MTRU_LNC004723)
Source: RNAcentral